AUUGAACGCUGGCGGCAUGCUUUACNCAUGCAAGUCGAACGGCAGCGGGGUAGUGCUUGCACUACUGUCCGGCGAGUGGCGAACGGGUGAGUAAUAUAUCGGAACGUACCGAGUAAUGGGGGAUAACCAAUCGAAAGAUUGGCUAAUACCGCAUACGUCCUAAGGGAGAAAGCGGGGGAUCGCAAGACCUCGCGUUAUUCGAGCGGCCGAUAACUGAUUAGCUAGUUGGUGGGGUAAAGGCCUACCAAGGCGACGAUCAGUAGCGGGUCUGAGAGGACGAUCCGNCNCACUGGGACUGAGACACGGCCCAGACUCCUACGGGAGGCAGCAGUGGGGAAUUUUGGACAAUGGGGGCAACCCUGAUCCANCCAUGCCGCGUGUAUGAAGAAGGCCUUCGGGUUGUAAAGUACUUUUGUUAGGGAAGAAAAGGGAAGUGCUAAUACCACUUUUUGCUGACGGUACCUAAAGAAUAAGCACCGGCUAACUACGUGCCAUCAGCCGCGGUAAUACNUANGGUGCGAGCGUNNAUCNGAAUUACUGGUCGUNNNNCGAGCGCANACGGUUAUUUAANNAUGANGUGAAAUCCCCCGGGCUUANCCUGUGAACUGCGUUCUGAACUGGAUANGNUAGAGUGUGUCANAGGGGGGUAGAAUUUCUACGUGUA
This 664-nucleotide ribosomal RNA is filed under the name uncultured Eikenella sp. RNAcentral describes it as "partial 16S ribosomal RNA". It matches the Rfam family "Bacterial small subunit ribosomal RNA", at positions 28 to 677 of the family's 1533-position model. Lineage: Bacteria; Pseudomonadati; Pseudomonadota; Betaproteobacteria; Neisseriales; Neisseriaceae. The record is from RNAcentral.